RNAcentral lists this ribosomal RNA (409 nucleotides) under Actinomycetes bacterium. RNAcentral describes it as "Actinobacteria bacterium partial 16S ribosomal RNA". It matches the Rfam family "Bacterial small subunit ribosomal RNA", at positions 355 to 776 of the family's 1533-position model. The record is from RNAcentral. Lineage: Bacteria; Bacillati; Actinomycetota; Actinomycetes.
UGGGGAAUAUUGCACAAUGGGCGGAAACCUGAUGCAGCGACGCCGCGUGGGGGAUGAAGGCCUUCGGGGUGUAAACUCCUCUCGACUUGGACGAAGCUUCUGUGACGUUACUUGUAUAUGAAGCACCGGCUAACCACGUGCCAGCAGCCGCGGUAAUACGUAGGGUGCGAGCGUUGUCCGGAAUUACUGGGCGUAAAGAGCUCGUAGGUGGUUUGUCGCGUCGUCUGUGAAUUUCCGGGGCUUAACUCCUGGCGUGCAGGCGAUACGGGCUGACUUGAGUGCUGUAGGGGAGACUGAAAUUCCGGGUGUAGCGGUAAAAUGCGCAGAUAUCAGGAGGAACACCGAUGGCGAAGGCAGGUCUCUGGGCAGUAACUGACGCUGAGGAGCGAAAGCAGGGGUAGCGAACAGG